UGUAAAUUUUAAUUCAGUGUUGAGUAAAGCCUUAUCUUGAAAGGUUGUUCUUUGGUGUUUACUUGAAUUCAAACUUCUACUUCACACACAUAUACGUAUAAUUGCUCCUUCCCAAAACGAGCCAAAUUAUGUAAAUAGAAAAGGAUACCACAGCAUAAAUGUUCAAGUCAUUUGUGAUGACAAAGGCAAAUUUAUCAAUGUGGUAGCACGAUGGCCAGGAUCAUGUCAUGAUUCAUUCAUCUUCCGGUCCUCUACCACUGGUAGAAGGUUGGAAGAAAUGGAUCAUGCAGCAAAUAAUGAUGUACUGUUGGGGGACAGUGGAUAUGCCUUACGGUCAUUUUUGAUGACUCCAUACCUCCAUCCAGUGCAUCCAUGCCAAAAAAAAUUUUAACAAGGCACAUAAAAAAAACAAGGUGUUUGGUUGAAAGAACCAUUGGCAUUUGGAGAAGAAGGUUUGAUGUUUUGCAUUCAGAAAUAAGGUAUCAGUGAGUCUUUAUGAGCCUUAAUACAACAUCAAAUCCUAGCAAGCAUGUUUACUCUAUUUAGGAUGAAACCAGAUAGAGUCUGCACCAUUAUAAUGGCUUGUGCAGUAUUCUUUGUUUGCAAUAGACGUCACUUCCCGUAUUUCCACUGUCAUCAAUUAUUCAUAUUUCCAGCUGAAGGGCAGGUAAAUAGAUAAUAUCAUAAGCGUGAUUGCCCUUCAUGUGUUCUUUAUUCAAAUAUGCUGGAUUGCUGUUCAGUUUUUACUUGCUCUAAUCGAGCUAAUCGAGAAAAGGAUAAAGGCUAUUAUAGGAUACCGAAAGGAAUUCUC
Molecule: long non-coding RNA, 811 nt
Organism: Xenia sp. Carnegie-2017
Lineage: Eukaryota; Metazoa; Cnidaria; Anthozoa; Malacalcyonacea; Xeniidae
Exons: 2
Source: RefSeq, a predicted model, not a curated record